RNAcentral lists this ribosomal RNA (500 nucleotides) under Epithemia pelagica. Its description in RNAcentral is "Epithemia sp. CRS-2021b partial large subunit ribosomal RNA". It matches the Rfam family "Eukaryotic large subunit ribosomal RNA", at positions 43 to 651 of the family's 3401-position model. The record is from RNAcentral. Lineage: Eukaryota; Bacillariophyta; Bacillariophyceae; Surirellales; Surirellaceae.
UUAAUAAGCGGAGGAAAAGAAACUAACUAGGAUUGGUCCAGUAACGGCGAGUGAAGCGCCAAUAGCCCUUCUUGUGAAUCGACUUUGUCGAAUUGUGGUUGCCUUUUCAUUCAGCUAGUGGACCAAGUCCCCUGGAACGGGGCAGCAGAGAGGGUGAGACUCCCGUUCGUCCACAUGCGUGAGAAUUGGCUUUGGAGUCGAGUUGUUUGGGAUUGCAGCUCUAAGUUGGUGGUAAAUUCCAUCAAAGGCUAAAUACUGGUGAGAGACCGAUAGCGUACAAGUACCGUGAGGGAAAGAUGCAAAGUCGCGCGAAAGCGCUGUCAAAGAGUACCUGAACUUGCUGAAACGGAAGCGAAGGAAACCAGUGCAAGCCAACCUGCACUUCCCCUGUUGCUUGCGAGAGGGGCGCUGCGGCUGGUGUUGUCCCAGUGGGCGAUGGACAAGGGAUGAUAAUGGCCUUGAAUGUUGCUGAGUGGGACGAAAUGGUUUUCUUUUUCCCG